CCUACGGGAGGCUGCAGUCGAGAAUCAUUCACAAUGGGGGAAACCCUGAUGGUGCGACGCCGCGUGGGGGAAUGAAGGUCUUCGGAUUGUAAACCCCUGUCAUGUGGGAGAAAAUUAAAAAGAUAGUACCACAAGAGGAAGAGACGGCUAACUCUGUGACAGCUGCCGCGGUAAUACAGAGGUCUAAAGCGUUGUUCGGAAUCACUGGGCGUAAAGCGUGCGUAGGCUGUUUCGUAAGUCGUGUGUGAAAGGCGCGGGCCCAACCCGCGGACGGCACAUGAUACUGCGAUACUAGAGUAAUGGAGGGGGAACCGGAAUUCUCGGUGUAGCAGUGAAAUGCGUAGAUAUCGAGAGGAACACUCGUGGCGAAGGCGGGUUCCUGGACAUUAACUGACGCUGAGGCACGAAGGCCAGGGGAGCGAAAGGGAUUAGAUACCCUGGUAGUC
This 446-nucleotide ribosomal RNA is filed under the name uncultured bacterium. RNAcentral's name for it is "partial 16S ribosomal RNA". It matches the Rfam family "Bacterial small subunit ribosomal RNA", at positions 338 to 795 of the family's 1533-position model. The record is from RNAcentral.